This 595-nucleotide ribosomal RNA is filed under the name uncultured bacterium. RNAcentral's name for it is "bacterial SSU rRNA". It matches the Rfam family "Bacterial small subunit ribosomal RNA", at positions 338 to 943 of the family's 1533-position model. The record is from RNAcentral.
CCUACGGGAGGCAGCAGUGGGGAAUAUUGCACAAUGGGCGAAAGCCUGAUGCAGCGGCGCCGCGUGAGGGACGACGGCCUUCGGGUUGUAAACCUCUUUCAGCAGGGACGAAGCGCAAGUGACGGUACCUGCAGAAGAAGCACCGGCUAACUACGUGCCAGCAGCCGCGGUAAUACGUAGGGUGCAAGCGUUGUCCGGAAUUACUGGGCGUAAAGAGUUCGUAGGCGGUUUGUCACGUCGUUUGUGAAAACUCACAGCUCAACUGUGAGCCUGCAGGCGAUACGGGCAGACUUGAGUACUGCAGGGGAGACUGGAAUUCCUGGUGUAGCGGUGAAAUGCGCAGAUAUCAGGAGGAACACCGGUGGCGAAGGCGGGUCUCUGGGCAGUAACUGACGCUGAGGAACGAAAGCGUGGGUAGCAAACAGGAUUAGAUACCCUGGUAGUCCACGCCGUAAACGGUGGGCGCUAGGUGUGGGUUCCUUCCACGGAAUCCGUGCCGUAGCUAACGCAUUAAGCGCCCGCCUGGGGAGUACGGCCGCAAGGCUAAAACNCAAAUGAAUUGACGGCUUGAGACGNGCGAGCGACACGAGGAGAG